RNAcentral lists this long non-coding RNA (512 nucleotides) under Cyanistes caeruleus (blue tit). RNAcentral describes it as "lncRNA (ENSCCEG00000022608.1)". The record is from RNAcentral. Lineage: Eukaryota; Metazoa; Chordata; Aves; Passeriformes; Paridae.
CAGGACUGGAGAGAGGAUGUUAAGUUGCUUGCACGUGUAUUUAGAAGAAACCACAAAAAGCAUAGCUUCCCCAGUUUCAUUUUAAGUGGUGGAAAAAAGCGUGAGCUUUACACACACCUAAGAAGUAAAAACCAGCCCCAAACUAGAGGACAGAGAAGACUAUCAUAUUUCAAGCAGAAUAGGAGAGGAAACAAGACAGGGCUUAGCAAACAUUUAAAGGAAGAUUGGACUACAGGACAUCUCUAUGUGUAUCCUGCAGUCUGUACACACUGUACACACCUACCAUGUGAUUUAAGGAAGAAGCACGCAGCAGAAUGGCAUUUGGAAAAAUGCCCCUUAUGGAGACUUCCAACUGAGAAUAAUACAAUAAUGUAUCUACCAUCCAUCUGUCAAGGUUCUUACACUGGCACCCAUGACUGUUGAAUCAGAAUACUAAUACUUAAUAGAAAAUUAUGCUUUCCCCACAGAAUCACUCAAAACACCACAAAAUAAAGUUUUCUAUCACCCUUGCA